GAUCAUGGCUCAGAUUGAACGCUGGCGGAAUGCUUUACACAUGCAAGUCGAACGGUAGAGGGGGCAACCCUUGAGAGUGGCGAACGGGUGAGUAAUAUAUCGGAACGUGCCCAGUCGUGGGGGAUAACGUAGCGAAAGUUACGCUAAUACCGCAUACGAUCUAAGGAUGAAAGCGGGGGACCGUAAGGCCUCGCGCGAUUGGAGCGGCCGAUAUCAGAUUAGGUAGUUGGUGGGGUAAAGGCUCACCAAGCCAACGAUCUGUAGCUGGUCUGAGAGGACGACCAGCCACACUGGAACUGAGACACGGUCCAGACUCCUACGGGAGGCAGCAGUGGGGAAUUUUGGACAAUGGACGCAAGUCUGAUCCAGCCAUUCCGCGUGCAGGAUGAAGGCCCUCGGGUUGUAAACUGCUUUUGUACGGAACGAAAAGGUUUGUCUUAAUACGAUGAGCUCAUGACGGUACCGUAAGAAUAAGCACCGGCUAACUACGUG
Molecule: ribosomal RNA, 492 nt
Filed under: uncultured bacterium
Lineage: Bacteria
Description: bacterial SSU rRNA
Rfam family: Bacterial small subunit ribosomal RNA
Source: RNAcentral